CGGCAGAGGGCACUGCGGAACCAGCAGGAAUGUCCCCUGUAGAGACAUGGUGACACACGGAGCUAUUCCACCCCCCUGGCUCUUCAUUCGUGAGGCCACCUGCCUCCUCGCAGAGGCGGCGAGGAAAUCCUGAAGGCAGCUACGACCAAGCAGAAAGGGGGGAGGGGGUAAAUUGGCAGCGGGAGGCGCUCACCACCCCGGCUCCCGCGGAAGCACGGCUUCCCUGCUUUUAAAUCUCCGGCCCUCAGGAGAGCCAGCGUUGGUUUGCAGCUGCAAGAAAAGGAGAAAGCGGACAACUAGUGGGGCUGGUCAGAGAGGAGCGAGGAAGCUCCCGGCAGAGGAGGACCAGAGACCCCGAGAGGAUGUUAACAAUCCAGUUCUCCCUGGUUGCGAUGACUUUAGUAUUCAAAGGGGCCAGUGGAGUGUCGGUGAUGCAGACGCAAGGCCCCAUGACCGUGUCCGAGGGAGAAGGUUUGAGGCUCAAUUGUAGCUAUGAUGAUGCCGCAGCGUAUGCCGUCUUCUGGUACGCGCAGUUCCGCAGCCAGCCCCCCCGGCUCCUCCUGAGGGACCCGGGAAGGGAGGACUCGGCUGAAGGAAUCAGAAAAGCGUUCGAUGCCACCCACGAGAAAAAGCACAAAUCCUUCCAUCUGUGGAAACCGGCCAGCGAAGUGAGCGACUCCGCGACCUAUUACUGCGCCGCGAGCGACACAGUGACAGGGACCGGCAGGGAGCUGAGCAAAAACCAGACAGGGUCUGUGCGGAGCAGCGGGAAGGCAGGCACCAGGGUCUGGGAGGGGAAGGGAGGAAUGGCGCAACCACAGAACUUGGAUCAGAUCUCUCUGGUCACCGGCUAG
Chelonia mydas (Green sea turtle) is the source of this 854-nucleotide non-coding RNA. Lineage: Eukaryota; Metazoa; Chordata; Testudines; Cheloniidae. The record is from the annotation of a RefSeq genome assembly.